Molecule: long non-coding RNA, 238 nt
Filed under: Lathyrus oleraceus (garden pea)
Lineage: Eukaryota; Viridiplantae; Streptophyta; Magnoliopsida; Fabales; Fabaceae
Description: Pisum sativum (pea) long non-coding RNA (PSAT_LNC010448)
Source: RNAcentral
UAAAGCAAUAAGAAGAAAAUAAAAAAUAUACAAAAGACAAAAAUAAACUAAAAAUUGGGGGUGUUGUUAAAAAAAUGCUCCAAACCCAAAGGAGGCGGAACUCACAUGGGUAUGUUGAGCAAUUAAGGGGUGUGGAUAUAAUUCAUCUUACCCAACCCUAUAUUUGAUUACUAUUCAUGUAGCAACAAAAAUGGAAGAAAAUGAGUUCCAACAAAAACUUAAAAACACCAUAAUUUUC